RNAcentral lists this ribosomal RNA (964 nucleotides) under Bacillus licheniformis. RNAcentral describes it as "bacterial SSU rRNA". It matches the Rfam family "Bacterial small subunit ribosomal RNA", at positions 382 to 1338 of the family's 1533-position model. The record is from RNAcentral. Lineage: Bacteria; Bacillati; Bacillota; Bacilli; Caryophanales; Bacillaceae.
UCUGACGGAGCAACGCCGCGUGAGUGAUGAAGGUUUUCGGAUCGUAAAACUCUGUUGUUAGGGAAGAACAAGUACCGUUCGAAUAGGGCGGUACCUUGACGGUACCUAACCAGAAAGCCACGGCUAACUACGUGCCAGCAGCCGCGGUAAUACGUAGGUGGCAAGCGUUGUCCGGAAUUAUUGGGCGUAAAGCGCGCGCAGGCGGUUUCUUAAGUCUGAUGUGAAAGCCCCCGGCUCAACCGGGGAGGGUCAUUGGAAACUGGGGAACUUGAGUGCAGAAGAGGAGAGUGGAAUUCCACGUGUAGCGGUGAAAUGCGUAGAGAUGUGGAGGAACACCAGUGGCGAAGGCGACUCUCUGGUCUGUAACUGACGCUGAGGCGCGAAAGCGUGGGGAGCGAACAGGAUUAGAUACCCUGGUAGUCCACGCCGUAAACGAUGAGUGCUAAGUGUUAGAGGGUUUCCGCCCUUUAGUGCUGCAGCAAACGCAUUAAGCACUCCGCCUGGGGAGUACGGUCGCAAGACUGAAACUCAAAGGAAUUGACGGGGGCCCGCACAAGCGGUGGAGCAUGUGGUUUAAUUCGAAGCAACGCGAAGAACCUUACCAGGUCUUGACAUCCUCUGACAACCCUAGAGAUAGGGCUUCCCCUUCGGGGGCAGAGUGACAGGUGGUGCAUGGUUGUCGUCAGCUCGUGUCGUGAGAUGUUGGGUUAAGUCCCGCAACGAGCGCAACCCUUGAUCUUAGUUGCCAGCAUUCAGUUGGGCACUCUAAGGUGACUGCCGGUGACAAACCGGAGGAUGGUGGGGAUGACGUCAAAUCAUCAUGCCCCUUAUGACCUGGGCUACACACGUGCUACAAUGGGCAGAAACAAAGGGCAGCGAAGCCGCGAGGCUAAGCCCAUCCCACAAUCUGUUCUCAGUUCGGAUCGCAGUCUGCAACUCGACUGCGUGAAGCUGGAAUCGCUAG